RNAcentral lists this ribosomal RNA (932 nucleotides) under Neodidymelliopsis ranunculi. Its description in RNAcentral is "partial large subunit ribosomal RNA". It matches the Rfam family "Eukaryotic large subunit ribosomal RNA", at positions 30 to 980 of the family's 3401-position model. Lineage: Eukaryota; Fungi; Ascomycota; Dothideomycetes; Pleosporales; Didymellaceae. The record is from RNAcentral.
GAAACUAGCAUAUCAAUAAGCGGAGGAAAAGAAACCAACAGGGAUUGCCCUAGUAACGGCGAGUGAAGCGGCAACAGCUCAAAUUUGAAAUCUGGCGUCUUUGGCGUCCGAGUUGUAAUUUGCAGAGGGCGCUUUGGCAUCGGCAGCGGUCCAAGUUCCUUGGAACAGGACGUCACAGAGGGUGAGAAUCCCGUACGUGAUCGCUAGCCUUUACCGUGUAAAGCCCCUUCGACGAGUCGAGUUGUUUGGGAAUGCAGCUCUAAAUGGGAGGUAAAUUUCUUCUAAAGCUAAAUACUGGCCAGAGACCGAUAGCGCACAAGUAGAGUGAUCGAAAGAUGAAAAGCACUUUGGAAAGAGAGUUAAAAAGCACGUGAAAUUGUUGAAAGGGAAGCGCUUGCAGCCAGACUUGCCUGUAGUUGCUCAUCCGGGUUUCUACCCGGUGCACUCUUCUAUAGGCAGGCCAGCAUCAGUUUGGGCGGUUGGAUAAAGGUCUCUGUCAUGUACCUCUCUUCGGGGAGAACUUAUAGGGGAGACGACAUGCAACCAGCCCGGACUGAGGUCCGCGCAUCUGCUAGGAUGCUGGCGUAAUGGCUGUAAGCGGCCCGUCUUGAAACACGGACCAAGGAGUCUAACAUCUAUGCGAGUGUUUGGGUGUCAAGCCCGAACGCGUAAUGAAAGUGAACGGAGGUGGGAACCUUUCGGGGUGCACCAUCGACCGAUCCUGAUGUCUUCGGAUGGAUUUGAGUAAGAGCAUAGCUGUUGGGACCCGAAAGAUGGUGAACUAUGCUUGAAUAGGGUGAAGCCAGAGGAAACUCUGGUGGAGGCUCGCAGCGGUUCUGACGUGCAAAUCGAUCGUCAAAUUUGGGCAUAGGGGCGAAAGACUAAUCGAACUAUCUAGUAGCUGGUUCCUGCCGAAGUUUCCCCUCAGGAAA